UACAGAGGGGGCAAGCGUUGUUCGGAAUUACUGGGCGUAAAGGGCGCGUAGGCGGCCUGUUAAGUCGAACGUGAAAUCCCCGGGCUCAACCCGGGAACUGCGUCCGAUACUGGCAGGCUUGAAUCCGGGAGAGGGAUGCGGAAUUCCAGGUGUAGCGGUGAAAUGCGUAGAUAUCUGGAGGAACACCGGUGGCGAAGGCGGCAUCCUGGACCGGUAUUGACGCUGAGGCGCGAAAGCUAGGGGAGCAAACGGG
Molecule: ribosomal RNA, 253 nt
Filed under: uncultured bacterium
Lineage: Bacteria
Description: partial 16S ribosomal RNA
Rfam family: Bacterial small subunit ribosomal RNA
Source: RNAcentral